CCUACGGGAGGUAGCAGUGGGGAAUAUUGCGCAAUGGGCGAAAGCCUGACGCAGCGACGCCGCGUGAGGGAUGAAGGUCUUCGGAUCGUAAACCUCUGUCAGCAGGGAAGAACGGUCACUGUGCUAAUCAGCAGUGCAUUGACGGUACCUGCAAAGGAAGCACCGGCUAACUCCGUGCCAGCAGCCGCGGUAAUACGGAGGGUGCGAGCGUUAUUCGGAAUUAGUGGGCGUAAAGCGACAGUAUACGGUAUGUCAAGUCAAGGGUGAAAUCCCCGCGCUCAACGUGGGAACUGCCUUUGAAACUGGCAAACUGGAGUGUGUGAGAGGAGAGUGGAAUUCCAGGUGUAGCAGUGAAAUCCGUAGAUAUCUGGAGGAACAUCAGUGGCGAAGGCGACUAUCUGGCACAUAACUGACGCUGAGGAGCGAAAGCGUGGGUAGCAAACAGGAUUAGAUACCCGAGUAGUC
RNAcentral lists this ribosomal RNA (465 nucleotides) under uncultured bacterium. RNAcentral's name for it is "partial 16S ribosomal RNA". It matches the Rfam family "Bacterial small subunit ribosomal RNA", at positions 338 to 795 of the family's 1533-position model. The record is from RNAcentral.